RNAcentral lists this long non-coding RNA (1008 nucleotides) under Sarcophilus harrisii (Tasmanian devil). RNAcentral describes it as "lncRNA (ENSSHAG00000023925.1)". The record is from RNAcentral. Lineage: Eukaryota; Metazoa; Chordata; Mammalia; Dasyuromorphia; Dasyuridae.
CUCUCUGGGCUCCUCUCCCUCCGAGAGAGCAUGGACGUUGCCUGCUGGCUAAGGUUUCAUCGCUGCUUUUCCUUCCAAAAUCAUUUUCACUUCAAACGAGGAAGAAGCUGGAAGUCCAGUCUGGGUGGGGUGGGUCCCAGAAAUGAGGGAGGGGGUUGAGGUCGGGUCCACAUGUGCCCUCCUCGCCUUUCUCUGUCCCACAUUUGGGACGUGAACCAGGAAAUUCCACCCUGGAAGGGUACAGGCCAGAAGGAGGGUGUGGCCUAGCGGGCCCUUACAGUGAGCCAGGGCAUGUGGCUUCAAUUCCUGCCUCCCCCACUGACUUAUUUAACCAUGUCCUGCCCUGAGCCUUGGCUUCCUCCCUGUGAAACAGAGACACUUGAAGAGCAGAGGGCUUCCAGGCUGGCUCAGGACCUUUGCACUGUCCGGCCCGAUGUUCUGGUUGCCAUUGGUGAUCCCGAGGGAUGUGCCAUCUCUGAGAUCCAUCUUAAAGGUUUGUAACAGAAUUAUUAAAGCAUGAUUCAACAGUGUGAUGUGACAGCUAAAGAAAGCUAAUGAUUUUGUGCCUUUAAAGAAUAUGGUGUCCAGAAGGAAGCUGAUCAUCCCACUGUCCUUCAUCUUGAUUAGACUCCAUUUGAAAUAGUGCAUGUUCAUUUUUGGAUACCACAUGGCACUAAGGAUGUUGACAAAUAGAAAUGUGUCCAGAAGAGGACCUCCAGGAUGUCAGGGGGACUGGAAACAUGCUAUAAAAGCAUUGAUCAAAGGAAGUGGAGAUGUUUAUUUUGAAGAAGAGAAGGUUUGAAAAUGAGAGGGAAGAGUGGUCAUGACAGUAUGCAGUGCAUGGUUUUGUAACUUUAAUAGAGUUUCCAUGUAAUGUUUUAUAUUAUGAUACCCCAUUCUCCAUCAGGCUGUAAACUCCAUGAGAGUAGACAUCAAUGUUCUAUCCAAGCCAUUUAUCUUCCCUAGAGCACAGUAUUAUGCCCUACACACAGUUGGCGUUUAAUAAAU